This 206-nucleotide ribosomal RNA is filed under the name uncultured bacterium. RNAcentral describes it as "partial 16S ribosomal RNA". It matches the Rfam family "Bacterial small subunit ribosomal RNA", at positions 1285 to 1500 of the family's 1533-position model. The record is from RNAcentral.
UACCCAGUUCGGAUUGUAGGCUGCAACUCGCCUACAUGAAGUCGGAGUUGCUAGUAAUCGCGGAUCAGAAUGCCGCGGUGAAUGCGUUCCCGGGUCUUGUACACACCGCCCGUCACACCAUGGAAGUUGGGGGCGCCCGAAGUUGCCUAAGAAAUAAGGUACCCAAGGCGAAACCAAUGACUGGGGUGAAGUCGUAACAAGGUAUC